GGAAAGAACUACCAAGGAUUCCCCUAGUAACUGCGAGUGAAGCGGGAAAAGCUCAAAUUUAAAAUCUGGUGGUCUCUGGUCACCCGAAUUGUAAUCUAGAGAAGUGCUGCCCGCGCUGGACCGUGUACAAGUCUCCUGGGAUGGAGCGUCAUAGAGGGUGAGAAUCCCGUCUCUGACACGGACUACCAGGGCUUUGUGGUAUGCUCUCAAAGAGUCGAGUUGUUUGGGAAUGCAGCUCAAAAUGGGUGGUAAAUUCCAUCUAAAGCUAAAUAUUGGCGAGAGACCGAUAGCGAACAAGUACCGUGAGGGAAAGAUGAAAAGAACUUUGGAAAGAGAGUUAAACAGUACGUGAAAUUGCUGAAAGGGAAACGCUUGAAGUCAGUCACAUUGGCCUGGGAUCAGCCUUGCUCUUUUGCAUGGUGUAUUUCCUGGUUGAUGGGUCAGCAUCAAUUUUGACUACUGGAAAAAGGCUUGAGGAAUGUGGCAGCUCUGGCUGUGUUAUAGCUUCUUGUCAUAUACAGUGGUUGGGAUUGAGGAACUCAGCAUGCCACAAGGCCGGGUUUCGACCACGUUCAUGCUUAGGAUGCUGGCAUAAUGGCUUUAAGCGACCCGUCUUGAAACACGGACCAAGGAGUCUAACAUGCCUGCGAGUGUUUGGGUGGAAAACCCGAGCGCGUAAUGAAAGUGAAAGUUGAGAUCCCUGUCGUGGGGAGCAUCGACGCCCGGACCAGAACUUUUGGGACGGAUCCGCGGUAGAGCAUGUAUGUUGGGACCCGAAAGAUGGUGAACUAUGCCUGAAUAGGGUGAAGCCAGAGGAAACUCUGGUGGAGGCUCGUAGCGAUUCUGACGUGCAAAUCGAUCGUCAAAUUUGGGUAUAGGGGCGAAAGACUAUCGAA
This 896-nucleotide ribosomal RNA is filed under the name Leucoagaricus sp. RNAcentral's name for it is "partial large subunit ribosomal RNA". It matches the Rfam family "Eukaryotic large subunit ribosomal RNA", at positions 56 to 939 of the family's 3401-position model. The record is from RNAcentral. Lineage: Eukaryota; Fungi; Basidiomycota; Agaricomycetes; Agaricales; Agaricaceae.